Lagopus muta (rock ptarmigan) is the source of this 3141-nucleotide long non-coding RNA. RefSeq lists it as uncharacterized. NCBI's taxonomy places the organism in Eukaryota, Metazoa, Chordata, Aves, Galliformes, Phasianidae. The record is from RefSeq and is a predicted model, not a curated record. The transcript is spliced from 3 exons.
AAACUAAAUCAGAAAAGCCAGCAAAAAAGUAAUUUAAAACUACCUCCCAGCAAAGAGCUUUCUCAAAUUAUAAAACAGAGCAUAGUGAAGAAAAAAGCACUUUAUAGCUGAUGCCCUUUUACUCCAGGUAAACAUCAGGCAGCCAGCUACACACCUUCCUUGGGUCUUUUGCAGGCCACAGGCAAAACUUGCAGGGACAAACCAAAAUGCAAACCAGAUGCAAGCAAUCAGCAGCUUCUCUAUCUCCAAAGCCCACAGUGGGACCCAUUCCUUUUGAGAGAUCUGUGCUUCUCCAUACUUAACAAACAGGAAGAAGAUGCAAAGCAUGCUGCUGGAACAGCUCUUUUGUGGGCUCAGCUGCAGGUCUUACUCCUUCAGACUCCUCCUGUCAUUUUAUUUUAUGUCUUAUCACUGGUCUCAGCCAGCUCAAGUACUUCAAGCCAAAAGCAUCUAACUUCCCCUUUCUCUGAGCUGAAGUGAAGGGGCUUUGUCUCUGCAAUUUGGAAUGGAUUUUCUCCAGCGUUCCAGCAUUUCUCUAACUGCAUUUGAGAAAGCCACCAGUAAUAGUUUCAAGUUUGUUGACCAGUAAAUCUGACCAAUGUUUGGAGUGUGCAUAAUAAUGACUUACAACUCUCAGCUCCACAACCACAUACGUUCUUGUUGCUUUCGUUAGUAGCAUGUUUCUGAAUUUGAAUUAUCAUCUCAGCACUCCUGACAGCAACGAAGUGGAUUAAAAUGAAGAGAAUGGGGAAUUGCAGCUUUAAGAUGCAGUUUUACACCUGGAUGUUUCCAGGGGGUCAGACACAGAACAUGGGAAGAACAACAAACUCCUCAAAUAGUUGAUGGUUGCCGGAGGGACGGUCCCAUGCCUUGUGUCUUUUCUGAGGCUAACCACGCUGGCGUUACUUCAUCUUUCCCAUCAGAAGCAUGAACCACAAAACAGUGCAUAAAAGAAAGUAAUACCUAUGUAGUUAAAAGGCUCUGAAACUCAUAGGAUAUGAAUGAGCAGCCAAUUAUUCUGUGAAUAAUUAGCAGCUAAGUUGGAACACGUUCAGGACUAUGCUAAGAAGGGAGCAGGAAUGCCACCAACAUGAAAAACAUGGCAAAAAUGCUGGCUUCCUAGAAGAAAUGGAAGGAUGGGCUGACCAUGAAUUCAAUGAUGUUCAAAUCCAAGCAGAGCCAGCAAAUUCCCAAGCUUUGCUCUGCAGUUGCUGAUUUGUGGAGGAGAUAAGAGGAAGUUGGAAAACUACCAUCAUCACAUCUUUCUAGAGAGAAAGUGAGGCUCCUUCUGAAGAGGGGAGAGUAAUUUACAUCAGUCUCAUGAAUGACUUGGAAAGUAACCCCCAGAGCAACGACUCCUGGCUACUCACAACUAUGGUCAUGACAGUUCUCACUGGAGCUGAUCUUUCUGCAGUGGAAACAGCAAAAAAGACACAGACAGCAUCUGCAUGGCCACAACUACCUUUUGACCUUCCCUAGGCAGAGUGAUGCUCAGCUGCUAAGUCGAUACAGCAAGCACGGCGGGAAACAUAACGACUCCGGCAGGGCCUGGAGUUCAAGACCAAGACCUCAGAGUUUGAGGCUAGAGGUGUGAAAAAGAUAGGAACCACACCAGGGAAAGAUUUUGAGAUGUUAAGUACCAGAGUUUAUUUCAUCUGAAAAGAGAAAAACCUAUGAUUCACUGGAUGACUUUUCUCAACAUUUUGUGGAUUGAAGUUUGCAGAUGAUAGAGAGACGUCUUUUCAAAAUGCUUCACUCAAAAGGAGAAUAUUUCAUUCUGAAAAUAUGAGUAGAAUACAUGACACAGGAUAAGCAUGAAAUUCUUCCUCUAUAACAUUUCUGCAACAUUGACAUCAUUUCACAAAACAUUUCAAGUUUGCCUAUCCUCUUUUUUCCAAUCAAAAGUGUUUCUAGAACACUUUUCUCACAGGCAGCCUUGCCUGCCUGUGUAGCUGAUGCACUCUGUAGUGCCCUUGGUGACUUCACUUGGCUCCCGCUAAGAAGAAAAGUACUGAAUGAGGCAGUGCACCUGGAUUUUAGCUUUGCUCAGCCAGGAGGGUCUGAAAACAGCUGGAAAUACUCACAAUGCUUAAAAAGUAACUCAGAAUCCCAGUGGUUUCUGAAAUACACAGAACUCUGCAGGCAGGAAAAAAAAAAAACAACAAAAAAAAGAGUCUAGCUCUGCAUUGCCAGUCUGUUUCCCCAUUGUUGAUGUUUUAUGUCAGUCUUUGAAAAUCCACUUUCCAGUAAAAUCCAUCAAACUUCUACACAAAGAAAUAUGGCCUGCGCAAAGCAAAUGACACAAAGAACAGAAACUGCUUCCAGGACCUCUGCAGUGUGUGUGGGUGGCAAGGCCUCCAGCAGCUCUGUCCUGAGGAAAGGUUUAGUUGGGGCAAUCAAGAGGUCUAUGGGUACUGUUUGACAACGUUUACACUGGCAGCCAAAAGGGGGGCUGCACUUUGCUUGAUGAAUUUUGUUUGUUGUUUUCAUUUAAAAGAAGAAAAAUCGAUAAAAUAAUGAGCUUAACUAAAUUCUAAAUUACGUAGAUUAAUUACUUCCUAAAGUUAGCUCAAAAUUACAAACAGCUUUUUGAUUAUGUUUUUAUCUGGGUAAAAUUGCAUCAAUUACAUAACUUGCACUUCAGAAAAUAGUUCCCCUUAAGCUAAUUAUAUCUUAAACAGAUUUAUCUGUGAAAUUCACAGCUGCAAAUUAUGUUCACCUGCAGCAUUUUUCACAUGCAGCCAAAGAAAGAAGAAAAUACUUGGGUUCUCACUUCUGUAACAAUUCUUCGUUAUAAAAAUCAUUCUAAGUAAGAAAAUCAGUUUAGUCUUCAAAGAACAAAUCUAAUCCAAAACUAAGGCUUUGUUUUCCAAUUGUCUAAUCCAUCAGUUGCUAAAUUCAACAUAUCCUUCUCUGCUAAGAUAUAGUCACUGUUUAUUACCUGCACGUAUUUCCAUAUUUUUAAUACAGGAUUAAUAUGCUUAACAUUAGUUUAUGCAAUGAGUAGAUAAUCAUAAAGCCGUAAGGAGCUGCACAGAACAUUACUAAGCAAUACAAGAAUAUGCUAUAAUUAAAGUUGUGCUUAUACUUCACCUGCGACUCCCCACUCUCACUCUCUUCAAUAAGAGAUACAAUACAAUA